GGUGGUGUAGCUCAGUGGUAGAGCACUUGCCUAACAUGUGCAAGACACUGGGUUCAAUCUUCAGCACCA
RNAcentral lists this transfer RNA (69 nucleotides) under Ictidomys tridecemlineatus (thirteen-lined ground squirrel). Its description in RNAcentral is "Spermophilus tridecemlineatus (thirteen-lined ground squirrel) tRNA". It matches the Rfam family "tRNA". Rfam says of the family: Transfer RNA (tRNA) molecules are approximately 80 nucleotides in length. Their secondary structure includes four short double-helical elements and three loops (D, anti-codon, and T loops). Lineage: Eukaryota; Metazoa; Chordata; Mammalia; Rodentia; Sciuridae. The record is from Rfam by way of RNAcentral.